AAUGAACGCUGGCGGCGUGCUUAACACAUGCAAGUCGAACGGUAACAGAAGAGCUUGCUCUUGCUGACGAGUGGCGCACGGGUGAGUAAUGCAUAGGUAACGUGCCCCUUAGUCUAGGAUAGCCACUGGAAACGGUGAUUAAUACUGGAUACUCCUUCUCUAUUAAUUAGAGUUGGGAAAGUUUUUCGCUAAGGGAUCGGCCUAUGUUGUAUCAGGUAGUUGGUGAGGUAAUGGCUCACCAAGCCUAUGACACAUAGCGGGUCUGAGAGGAUGAUCCGCCACACUGGUACUGAGACACGGACCAGACUCCUACGGGAGGCAGCAGUGGGGAAUAUUGCACAAUGGACGAAAGUCUGAUGCAGCAACGCCGCGUGGAGGAUGACACAUUUCGGUGCGUAAACUCCUUUUAUAUGAGAAGAUAAUGACGGUAUCAUAUGAAUAAGCACCGGCUAACUCCGUGCCAGCAGCCGCGGUAAUACGAAGGGUGCAAGCGUUAUUCGGAAUCACUGGGCGUAAAGGGUGCGUAGGCGGUUUGAUAAGUCUGAUGUGAAAUCCUAUGGCUCAACCAUAGAACUGCAUUGGAAACUGUCAGACUAGAAUACUGAAGGGGCAGAUGGAAUUAGUGGUGUAGGGGUAAAAUCCGUAGAUAUCACUAGGAAUACCGAAAGCGAAAGCGAUCUGCUGGGAAGUUAUUGACGCUGAGGCACGAAAGCGUGGGGAGCAAACGGGAUUAGAUACCCCGGUAGUCCACGCCCUAAACGAUGAAUGCUAGUCGUCGGAAAGCUCGUCUUUUCGGUGAUGCAGUUAACACAUUAAGCAUUCCGCCUGGGGAGUACGGUCGCAAGAUUAAAACUCAAAGGAAUAGACGGGGACCCGCACAAGUGGUGGAGCAUGUGGUUUAAUUCGAAGAUACGCGAAGAACCUUACCAAGCCUUGACAUUGAUUGAAUUCUUUAGAGAUAGAGAAGUGCCUUUCGAGGAACAUGAAAACAGGUGCUGCACGGCUGUCGUCAGCUCGUGUCGUGAGAUGUUGGGUUAAGUCCCGCAACGAGCGCAACCCUCGUCGUUAGUUGCUAACAGUUCGGCUGAGCACUCUAGCGAGACUGCCUUCGCAAGGAGGAGGAAGGUGAGGACGACGUCAAGUCAUCAUGGCCCUUAUGGCUUGGGCUACACACGUACUACAAUGGGGCGUACAGAGAGUUGCGAUACCGCGAGGUGGAGCUAAUCUCAUAAAGCGUCUCUCAGUUCGGAUUGGACUCUGCAACUCGAGUCCAUGAAGCUGGAAUCACUAGUAAUCGUAGAUCAGCAAUGCUACGGUGAAUACGUUCCCGGGUCU
Molecule: ribosomal RNA, 1335 nt
Filed under: uncultured bacterium
Lineage: Bacteria
Description: bacterial SSU rRNA
Rfam family: Bacterial small subunit ribosomal RNA
Source: RNAcentral